AGAGUUUGAUCCUGGCUCAGAACGAACGCUGGCGGCGUGCUUAAUACAUGCAAGUCGUGCGAGAACGGGUCCUUCGGGGCCCUAGUAAAGCGGCGCACGGGUGCGUAACACGUGGGCAACCUGCCCAACGGUUCGGGAUAAGCUCUCGAAAGGGGGUCUAAUACCGAAUGAUAUUCAGAGGAGACAUCUCCUUUGACUCAAAGACGGGUUAAACCGUUGCCGAUGGAUGGGCCCGCGGCCCAUUAGCUAGUUGGCGGGGUAACGGCCCACCAAGGCGGAGAUGGCUAGCUGGUCUGAGAGGAUGGCCAGCCACACUGGGACUGAGACACGGCCCAGACUCCUACGGGAGGCAGCAGUGGGGAAUAUUGCGCAAUGGGCGAAAGCCUGACGCAGCGACGCCGCGUGG
RNAcentral lists this ribosomal RNA (406 nucleotides) under uncultured bacterium. Its description in RNAcentral is "bacterial SSU rRNA". It matches the Rfam family "Bacterial small subunit ribosomal RNA", at positions 8 to 404 of the family's 1533-position model. The record is from RNAcentral.